RNAcentral lists this non-coding RNA (76 nucleotides) under uncultured Paenibacillus sp. Its description in RNAcentral is "Cyclic di-GMP-II riboswitch". It matches the Rfam family "Cyclic di-GMP-II riboswitch aptamer". The record is from RNAcentral. Lineage: Bacteria; Bacillati; Bacillota; Bacilli; Caryophanales; Paenibacillaceae.
AUAUUAGGAAACGAUGAAAUGCGCUUUUGUCUGGGCACUUUAGGCGCGUGGAGUUAGUGGUGCAACCGGCCGAGUA